This 300-nucleotide ribosomal RNA is filed under the name uncultured Methanolobus sp. RNAcentral describes it as "bacterial SSU rRNA". The stretch from base 61 to 300 matches the Rfam family "Bacterial small subunit ribosomal RNA", at positions 556 to 795 of the family's 1533-position model. Lineage: Archaea; Methanobacteriati; Methanobacteriota; Methanomicrobia; Methanosarcinales; Methanosarcinaceae. The record is from RNAcentral.
GGAAGAGAGGGGCGGGUGACGGUGAGAGAGCGUGGGUGGCAUGCGUUGGCCGGGUUGGAGGGGCGUAAAGCGGGCGCAGGCUGGGUUAGACGUCUGGGGUGACAAACCGGGGCUCAAGCACGGGUCGGCAUUGGAGACGGGAAGACUUGAGGAGCGGAGAGGCAAGUGGAAUUCCACGUGUAGCCGUGAAAUGCGUAGAUAUGUGGAGGAACACCUGUGGCGAAGGCGCCUUGCUGGCCGAUUUCUGACGCUGAGGCGCGAAAGCGUGGGGAGCAAACAGGAUUAGAUAACCCUGUAGUC